This is a long non-coding RNA of Apis dorsata (giant honeybee), 850 nucleotides long. RefSeq lists it as uncharacterized. The transcript is spliced from 2 exons. Lineage: Eukaryota; Metazoa; Arthropoda; Insecta; Hymenoptera; Apidae. The record is from RefSeq and is a predicted model, not a curated record.
AUAUAAUCACACAGGAUUACAUGAUUUAAUUCAAGAUUCUAUAUAGUAUUAUUUCUCGAAUCACUAUGCGCAAAAUUAUUACAAUUAAACCAAGCCUAAAGCCAUAUAUCAAUUUUGAUCUAAAGUGUGUUUCUUUAAUUGCUCUUCAUUCUAGAGAAGGAAUUGUAAAUCGAUCGUUUUAGAAAUGUUCUACUUUGAAUGAAAUGAAUAUGAAUAAUGUGCACAUAAUGUUACUUACUCUUAUAUCAGGUAUAGGCUUGUCUAAUUGAAGGCUAGCAAAUUCCUCAUAGUCCAUAAACAUGAUGCACGCAUUUUACGAUGAAUGCUGUUAACGGAUAUAACCCCAUUUAUUUGAAAGAAUUGAUCAGAACAGGAAACGCAUAUUCAGGUGAUAUCUCGCACGGAAGUAAAAAACACGAUCGUUCGCGAUGGAUUUCAAGAAUGAUUAUUGGAAUUCUACAUGUAGAUGCUCCUAUAGGAAAUUCUUGAAGAUGCAGGACGCAAGAAAUGAAUAUUACCGAACACACGCAAUUGUAUAAAAUAUGAAAUAUAUUUACUUUUCAUAGUAUGUCGUAUAAUUUAGAUAAUAUACGUACUUUACGGGCAUUGCAUAGAGUUUAUCAUAUACGUUUAACAAUAUAAAAGAUUACAGUUUACAUUAAUAUAUACAGAAGAGCGAAAGAUUUGGAUCAUAUUUGAACAGCGCCAUUGAACUUUCGCGUGUAUCUUAUAGUUUUAAGAUAAUCGCUUGUAUCCUCAUACGAAGCACAAUUAUAUGUUCUACAAUUUAUAUGUUCUAAGUUUAAAAAAUAUAAAACAAAAUGUGAUAAUUAUUAAUAACAGAGAGAGA